Molecule: ribosomal RNA, 430 nt
Filed under: uncultured bacterium
Lineage: Bacteria
Description: partial 16S ribosomal RNA
Rfam family: Bacterial small subunit ribosomal RNA
Source: RNAcentral
AACGAACGCUGGCGGCAGGCCUAACACAUGCAAGUCGAACGCCCCGCAAGGGGAGUGGCAGACGGGUGAGUAACACGUGGGAACCUUCCCUAUAGUACGGAAUAGCCCAGGGAAACUUGGAGUAAUACCGUAUACGCCCGGAAGGGGAAAGAAUUUCGCUAUAGGAUGGGCCCGCGUAGGAUUAGCUAGUUGGUGAGGUAAUGGCUCACCAAGGCGACGAUCCUUAGCUGGUUUGAGAGAACGACCAGCCACACUGGGACUGAGACACGGCCCAGACUCCUACGGGAGGCAGCAGUGGGGAAUAUUGGACAAUGGGCGCAAGCCUGAUCCAGCCAUGCCGCGUGAGUGAUGAAGGCCUUAGGGUUGUAAAGCUCUUUUGGCGGGGACGAUAAUGACGGUACCCGCAGAAUAAGUCCCGGCUAACUUCGUG